Molecule: ribosomal RNA, 494 nt
Filed under: uncultured bacterium
Lineage: Bacteria
Description: partial 16S ribosomal RNA
Rfam family: Bacterial small subunit ribosomal RNA
Source: RNAcentral
ACUCAAAGGAAUAGACGGGGACCCGCACAAGCGGUGGAUGAUGUGGAUUAAUUCGAUGCAACGCGAAAAACCUUACCUACCCUUGACAUGGCAGGAACCCCCUAGAGAUAGGGGGGUGCCCGAAAGGGAACCUGCACACAGGUGCUGCAUGGCUGUCGUCAGCUCGUGUCGUGAGAUGUUGGGUUAAGUCCCGCAACGAGCGCAACCCUUGUCUCCAGUUGCUACGCAAGGGCACUCUGGAGAGACUGCCGGUGACAAACCGGAGGAAGGUGGGGAUGACGUCAAGUCCUCAUGGCCCUUAUGGGUAGGGCUUCACACGUCAUACAAUGGCCGGUACAGAGGGUUGCCAACGCGCGAGCGGGAGCCAAUCCCAUAAAGCCGGUCGUAGUCCGGAUUGCAGUCUGCAACUCGACUGCAUGAAGUCGGAAUCGCUAGUAAUCGCGGAUCAGCAUGUCGCGGUGAAUACGUUCCCGGGUCUUGCACACACCGCCCGU